Molecule: ribosomal RNA, 778 nt
Filed under: uncultured Neocallimastigales
Lineage: Eukaryota; Fungi; Neocallimastigomycota; Neocallimastigomycetes; Neocallimastigales
Description: partial large subunit ribosomal RNA
Rfam family: Eukaryotic large subunit ribosomal RNA
Source: RNAcentral
UAUCUCUGUAGAGUCUGCAUAUCAAUAAGCGGAGGAAAAGAAACUAACUAGGAUUCCCUUAGUAACGGCGAGUGAAGCGGGAAGAGCUCAAAUUUGAAAUCUUCAAGGUCCUACCUUGACGAAUUGUAGUUUAAAGAAGUGUUUUCUGUUGAGAGUUGAGUACAAAGUUCCUUGGAAUAGGGACAUCAUAGAGGGUGAGAAUCCCGUAUUUGACGUUAUUCAUUCUAGCUGUGUGAUACACUUUCAAAGAGUCGGAUUGUUUGGGAAUGCAGUCCAAAAUGGGUGGUAAAUUUCAUCUAAAGCUAAAUAUUGGCGAGAGACCGAUAGCGAACAAGUACCGUGAGGGAAAGAUGAAAAGAACUUUGAAAAGAGAGUUAAACAGUACGUGAAAUUGUCAAAAGGGAAGCGUUUGACACCAGUGUUGUUUUUCCGAAAAUCAAUUACGAAUGGCUUGAUUUUGUGUUGUAUUGACCUUAUCAGCUUUCUGCACUUUUUUCGAGUCUUUCUUAAUGCACUUUUCGGUUAACAAGUCAACAUCAAUUUCUUUUGUUGUAAAAGAGUAUUCGGAAGGUGGCUUUCUUUUCGGAGAAAGUGUUUAUAGCCCUAUACUUCUACAAUCGGAGAGAUUGAGGUCUGCAGCGUAGAUCCUUCGGGGUUAGAUACAUUUGUGCUAAGUUGUAGCUUUUCAUAGACAACUUGUUGACUAUGUUUAGUCAUGCGGCUUACUCGCUUGUGCUAUUUUACCUACGCUUAGGAUGUUGACUGAUAUGUAGUCGUA